UGGGGAAUAUUGCGCAAUGGGGGAAACCCUGACGCAGCAACGCCGCGUGGGCGAUGAAGGCCUUCGGGUCGUAAAGCCCUUUUUGAGGGGAUGAGGAAGGACAGUACCCUCAGAAUAAGCCUCGGCUAACUACGUGCCAGCAGCCGCGGUAAAACGUAGGAGGCGAGCGUUAUCCGGAUUUACUGGGCGUAAAGCGCGUGCAGGCGGAUUGGAGAGUUGGAUGUGAAAGCUCCCGGCUUAACUGGGAGAGGUCGUUCAAUACUUCCAGUCUUGAGUGCAGUAGAGGGAAGUGGAAUUCCGGGUGUAGUGGUGAAAUGCGUAGAUAUCCGGAGGAACACCAGUGGCGAAAGCGGCUUCCUGGACUGUAACUGACGCUCAGACGCGAAAGCUAGGGUAGCAAACG
RNAcentral lists this ribosomal RNA (403 nucleotides) under uncultured bacterium. RNAcentral describes it as "bacterial SSU rRNA". It matches the Rfam family "Bacterial small subunit ribosomal RNA", at positions 355 to 774 of the family's 1533-position model. The record is from RNAcentral.